This is a long non-coding RNA of Brassica rapa (field mustard), 2399 nucleotides long. RefSeq lists it as uncharacterized. The record is from RefSeq and is a predicted model, not a curated record. Lineage: Eukaryota; Viridiplantae; Streptophyta; Magnoliopsida; Brassicales; Brassicaceae.
AAUAACAAUUAAUGUCUAUACACUAAAAUCAAAUAGUUUUCUUAUUUUAGAAUAAAUAUAUCUUAAAAUAAAAAAUCUAAAUAAGAAUUUUUUUUGUAAAUUAAUAUCGAUAUAAAUUAAUAAAAUUUCAAAAUCUCAACAUUAUUAAUUUACAGAGGUUUUACGGCAUUAUGAAUAAAUACAGUUACUUAAUUAUAUGGUGUAUGAUUUGAUUUGUAAUUGAAAAAACAUGUAAAAAAUAGAGUGCUUAGUAUUGAAUAUAUGAAAUGUGGGAGGGGAUUGUUUGUAACAUAACUUGGGAUUAGUAACUACACUUUAUGAGCCACUAACGUUUUAAUAUUAUUAUUGGGCUGUGUGAAGUCCACACAAUUAAAGAAUGGUUUUUUUUUUUUUUUUUUAUCUGAAGCUUUGUAAAUUUCGUCGGCAACUAAAGGAUUGGAAAGAGUAUUUUAGGGUUCAAGCUUUGCUAAAUCGAUUCUUCUUCCUUCCAAGUAAAGAUCUGACCAGUCUGGUCCUUCAAUUAUUCGUGUAGACUCUGAUCAUCCUAUAUGGUACUCCGUUCGACACUGUUGUUGCAGAGGAGUGAAUGUUAAGUGAAUAAAGCAAAUGAAACAGGCUUUAGCUACUUUGGAGCAGAACCUUUUUGUAAAAAAAUGGCAUAAGGAGGUGAUUCAAACUGCCGAGGAGACCAUUAAAUAAUUGACUCGAACAACAUCAAGCCAUUGUUUGCGGCACCGACCCAUCAAAAACGAUAUGCAGCUGCGUAGAAAAGAAUUCUCUAAUUCACUGGCUCCUAUUUCCAAGGUACAUAUGUAUAUGGGAUUCACUGAAGAACCAUUAGUUGACAAUGGUGUUGGUGCAUUCAGAAAAAGUUAACCGAAUUGGUAUAUUCUAAUAAAUUGUUAUUUUGUGAGAGUAUAGAACAAACAAACAUAUGAAAAAAAUUUGAAUAUCACCACAAAAGGAAGGAUAAUUAGUCGGACGAAGUUAUUGUCAUUUUGUAUGAGUAAUUAAGUGGGACGAAAUUAUUUAGGCCAGUGGCAUAACUUGUAAUUUUUCUAGUAAUGAAAGGGUAUUCAAAUAACUUGGUUGAGAAGGAUUGUGAGCUUGACACAUGUGCAAAAUGGCAGUGUUGUAAUUAAAAUACAAAACAAAGGUUAUUUUCUUAAAAUGCUUCUCAAUUAAUAAGAAAGGGAUAUAUAUAUAUAUAUAUAUCAUAUAUCAUAUAAUCUGUUUAUUGGCUUCAAUCCUCCUAUAUAUUAAUUGAGAAGUUACUUUAGUGAUUCUUGCUUAUAUGUCAUUCAUACAAGAGCUCUCCAUUUAAUUCUUUUAAUUUGAUUGGUUGACAAUUUUUUUUAUUUUUGAUUUAUUAAUUCAGUUCUAAAAAAAAAAAUCAAGAACAAUCUUACAUCAAUAUCCAAACAAAUCAUACUUAACAGUAAUGGUUUUCACAAAUAUGUGUUUAAGAAACUAUGUCAUCAGUGCUUGGUUUUCCUAUAUUUUAAUGUUUCCAAUUUUAUCUAAUUAGCAUUGUAACUUUGGUAAGUUAUAAAAAAAUAAAUAGAUAUUAUACUGUACAUUUAUUCAUAUGUUAUUAAGAAUUUGAGUUAAAUUUAUAGUGAAUAAUAUUUUGAUUAAAGAUUUGGAUUGUGUUUUGUUUAUAUUACUAAAUUUUUAUAUUAAAAUAUCAAAAUUUAUAUCUCAUAGGGUAACAUAUAUUUUUCUUAAAAAUAAAUUGGAUUGGUUAAUGUUUUUUUUUAACUUGAUUUAUUUAAUUCAUUUUAAAAAUCUAAAUUCAAAUACAAACUUACACCAAUAGAAAAACAUAUCAUACUUAACAAUAAUGGCUAUCACAAUUAUGUAUUUAAGAAAUUUGUGUCAACAAUGCUCGAUUGCUCUCUAUUUUAAUGUUUCCAGUUAUAUCUAAUUAGUAUUGUAAGUUUUUAGUAAAGUAUAAAAAGAAUUAGAUUAAAGAAUUCCAAAUAAUAUUAAUAUACUAAUUAAUUUUUGAAUAAAUAUUGAAACAUAAUUUGUAUCAACAUAUAUUUUAUUUGUAUAAGAGAGAUUUAAAAACAAAUUCCCUUGCAUAUUAUAUCUUACUAUAUAAAGUUUGGUUUUUCAAAGUUGUUAAUUAACAUGAUCGCGACACAUGAUAAUUAUAUAUUUUAAGAUUCUGACAUGUGUUAAUAUAUCUCAUAAUUAAAAAUAUAUAUAAUAAGAUACUAACAAACACAAAUUUUAUUAAAAAAGUAAUUAUAAAUAUUAUUUAAUCGUAAUUUUCCUUUUUUAAAUCCUAAUCAAAAGAUUAUUGCAAAAUAUUAUUUGAUAAUAACUUUUCUUCUAAUAUUGUGACAUGCGUUUAAUAUAUAAUGAUUAAAAAAUAUAUAUAAUAAGAUAAU